This 278-nucleotide ribosomal RNA is filed under the name Sclerodermataceae sp. TU103614. RNAcentral describes it as "partial 28S ribosomal RNA". It matches the Rfam family "Eukaryotic large subunit ribosomal RNA", at positions 1 to 269 of the family's 3401-position model. RNAcentral also lists the same sequence under 1 other name. Lineage: Eukaryota; Fungi; Basidiomycota; Agaricomycetes; Boletales; Sclerodermataceae. The record is from RNAcentral.
UUGACCUCAGAUCAGGUAGGACUACCCGCUGAACUUAAGCAUAUCAAUAAGCGGAGGAAAAGAAACUAACGAGGAUUCCCCUAGUAACUGCGAGUGAAGCGGGAAAAGCUCAAAUUUCGAAUCUGGCGUCCUCCGGUCGUCCGAGUUGUAAUCUAGAGAAGCGUCUUCCGCGCUGGACCGUGUACAAGUCUCCUGGAAGGGAGCAUCGUAGAGGGUGACAAUCCCGUCUCUGACACGGACCCCCCCAGUGCUAUGUGAUGCGCUCUCGACGAGUCGAG